Molecule: ribosomal RNA, 587 nt
Filed under: uncultured bacterium
Lineage: Bacteria
Description: bacterial SSU rRNA
Rfam family: Bacterial small subunit ribosomal RNA
Source: RNAcentral
CCUACGGGAGGCAGCAGUGGGGAAUAUUGGACAAUGGGCGCAAGCCUGAUCCAGCCAUACCGCGUGUGUGAAGAAGGCCUUUUGGUUGUAAAGCACUUUAAGCGAGGAGGAGGCUCUUGAGGAUAAUACCCUUGAUGAGUGGACGUUACUCGCAGAAUAAGCACCGGCUAACUCUGUGCCAGCAGCCGCGGUAAUACAGAGGGUGCGAGCGUUAAUCGGAAUUACUGGGCGUAAAGCGCGCGUAGGCGGCUUGUUAAGUCGGAUGUGAAAUCCCCGGGCUCAACCUGGGCACUGCAUUCGAUACUGGCAAGCUAGAGUAUGGGAGAGGAAGGUAGAAUUCCAGGUGUAGCGGUGAAAUGCGUAGAGAUCUGGAGGAAUACCGAUGGCGAAGGCAGCCUUCUGGCCUAAUACUGACGCUGAGGUGCGAAAGCAUGGGGAGCAAACAGGAUUAGAUACCCUGGUAGUCCAUGCCGUAAACGAUGUCAACUAGCCGUUGGGGACCUUGAGUCUUUAGUGGCGCAGCUAACGCGAUAAGUUGACCGCUGGGGAGUACGGUCGCGAAGACUAAAACUCGAAAGGAUUGACGG